RNAcentral lists this long non-coding RNA (576 nucleotides) under Mus caroli (Ryukyu mouse). RNAcentral's name for it is "lncRNA (MGP_CAROLIEiJ_G0004605.1)". Lineage: Eukaryota; Metazoa; Chordata; Mammalia; Rodentia; Muridae. The record is from RNAcentral.
CUGCCCCCUUCUGUUUGCCUCUUUGCCCUCAAUCUGAGGGGAUAGGAUCCAAGCUCUACCCAUGGCUCCCAUUUUCUGCCACUCCUGCUCUGACCAGUCAGUGUGCAUAAGGAAAAAGGGUGAACGAAUGAAAAAAACCCAAACAAACAGGGUUCUCUUAGCAAGAGAAGAAGAGGGAGCCACUGGGUCACCAACCGUCUUGCUCUAUGGAAAGAGCCUGGGUAGUGUCAGCAGUGCUAGUGAAGGAAGAGGUCAAAUUUAUCUGAAGUCACCAGAUUGGAUUGAUUACCAGGUGGCAGAAGCAAAAGGCAACGGUUCUGUGCUUCCGGUUGCUUCCCCGUGGAGUCUUAGCAUCCGGCAGAGUAUGGGAAUGUAAGCAUCUCACUUCCAGUGUGUUUGGCAGCCUACAGCUUCCAGAAAGUCUGAGUAGCACUUUAAAAAACAUGAGAAAGUGAGAAGAUGUGGACAGGAGUGUCGCCCAAGGGCUGUGCUGAGGAGAGGGAUCUCAAGCCCUUAGGAUUGUGGGUGUGAAUCCAAGGAGGUGGAGUCUGAAGUCCAAGGAGGACUGUAGGAGAU